CCCUUAGAUGUUCUGGGCCGCACGCGCGCUACACUGAUGCAUUCAACGAGUCUAAAACCUGGUCUGAUAGGGCUGGGUAAUCUUUUGAAUGUGCAUCGUGAUUGGGAUAGAUGAUUGCAAUUCUUCAUCUUCAACGAGGAAUGCCUAGUAAACGCAAGUCAUCAGCUUGCAUUGACUACGUCCCUGCCCUUUGUACACACCGCCCGUCGCUCCUACCGAUUGAAUGUUCCGAUGAAUACCAUGGACUGAGAGUAUGAAUGGGUUCGCCUAUUUCUGCUUCUCGGGAAGUGGAGUAAAUCUUAACAUUUAGAGGAAGGAGAAGUCGUAACA
Molecule: ribosomal RNA, 330 nt
Filed under: uncultured eukaryote
Lineage: Eukaryota
Description: partial 18S ribosomal RNA
Rfam family: Eukaryotic small subunit ribosomal RNA
Source: RNAcentral